Molecule: non-coding RNA, 27 nt
Filed under: Mus musculus (house mouse)
Lineage: Eukaryota; Metazoa; Chordata; Mammalia; Rodentia; Muridae
Source: RNAcentral
UUCAGAGUCCUAGACCUGAGCCUGGCG